Molecule: ribosomal RNA, 226 nt
Filed under: Paramoeba aestuarina
Lineage: Eukaryota; Discosea; Flabellinia; Dactylopodida; Paramoebidae
Description: partial Bacterial small subunit ribosomal RNA
Rfam family: Bacterial small subunit ribosomal RNA
Source: RNAcentral
CGGGUGAGUAAUGCCUAGGAAUCUGCCUGGUAGUGGGGGACAACGUUUCGAAAGGAACGCUAAUACCGCAUACGUCCUACGGGAGAAAGUGGGGGAUCUUCGGACCUCACGCUAUCAGAUGAGCCUAGGUCGGAUUAGCUUGUAGGUGAGGUAAUGGCUCACCUAGGCAACGAUCCGUAACUGGUCUGAGAGGAUGAUCAGUCACACUGGAACUGAGACACGGUCC